UACAGAGGUGGCGAGCGUUAUUCGGAUUUAUUGGGCGUAAAGGGCGUGUAGGCGGCUCUGCACGUCGGGUGUGAAAGCGCUACCGCUCAACGGAGCGACGGCACUCGAUACGGCGGAACUUGAAUCCGGUAGAGGUGGGCAGAAUACCUGGUGUAGCGGUGGAAUGCUUAGAUAUCAGGUAGAAUACCCGAGGCGAAGGCGGCCCACUGGACCGAGAUUGACGCUGAGGCGCGAAAGCGUGGGGAGCAAACGGG
Molecule: ribosomal RNA, 254 nt
Filed under: uncultured bacterium
Lineage: Bacteria
Description: partial 16S ribosomal RNA
Rfam family: Bacterial small subunit ribosomal RNA
Source: RNAcentral